RNAcentral lists this ribosomal RNA (1476 nucleotides) under Bacteroides pyogenes. Its description in RNAcentral is "16S ribosomal RNA". It matches the Rfam family "Bacterial small subunit ribosomal RNA". Lineage: Bacteria; Pseudomonadati; Bacteroidota; Bacteroidia; Bacteroidales; Bacteroidaceae. The record is from RNAcentral.
GCUCAGGAUGAACGCUAGCUACAGGCUUAACACAUGCAAGUCGAGGGGCAGCAUGAAUAUUGGCUUGCCAAUAUUUGAUGGCGACCGGCGCACGGGUGAGUAACACGUAUCCAACCUUCCGGUUACUCGGGGAUAGGCUUUCGAAAGAAAGAUUAAUACCCGAUGUUGUGUAUCUUUCUCCUGAAAGAUACGCCAAAGGAUUCCGGUAACCGAUGGGGAUGCGUUCCAUUAGGCAGUUGGCGGGGUAACGGCCCACCAAACCUUCGAUGGAUAGGGGUUCUGAGAGGAAGGUCCCCCACAUUGGAACUGAGACACGGUCCAAACUCCUACGGGAGGCAGCAGUGAGGAAUAUUGGUCAAUGGACGGAAGUCUGAACCAGCCAAGUAGCGUGAAGGAUGACUGCCCUCUGGGUUGUAAACUUCUUUUAUACGGGAAUAACAUGAGGUACGCGUACCUUAUUGCAUGUACCGUUAUGAAUAAGCAUCGGCUAACUCCGUGCCAGCAGCCGCGGUAAUACGGAGGAUGCGAGCGUUAUCCGGAUUUAUUGGGUUUAAAGGGAGCGUAGGUGGGAUAUUAAGUCAGCUGUGAAAGUUUGGGGCUCAACCUUAAAAUUGCAGUUGAUACUGGUUUCCUUGAGUACGGUACAGGUGGGCGGAAUUCGUGGUGUAGCGGUGAAAUGCUUAGAUAUCACGAAGAACUCCGAUCGCGAAGGCAGCUCACCGGGCCGGAACUGACACUGAUGCUCGAAAGUGCGGGUAUCAAACAGGAUUAGAUACCCUGGUAGUCCGCACAGUAAACGAUGAAUACUCGCUGUUUGCGAUACACAGUAAGCGGCCAAGCGAAAGCGUUAAGUAUUCCACCUGGGGAGUACGCCGGCAACGGUGAAACUCAAAGGAAUUGACGGGGGCCCGCACAAGCGGAGGAACAUGUGGUUUAAUUCGAUGAUACGCGAGGAACCUUACCCGGGCUUAAAUUGCGCUGGCUUUUACCGGAAACGGUAUUUUCUUCGGACCAGCGUGAAGGUGCUGCAUGGUUGUCGUCAGCUCGUGCCGUGAGGUGUCGGCUUAAGUGCCAUAACGAGCGCAACCCUUAUCUUUAGUUACUAACAGUUUUGCUGAGGACUCUAAAGAGACUGCCGUCGUAAGAUGCGAGGAAGGUGGGGAUGACGUCAAAUCAGCACGGCCCUUACGUCCGGGGCUACACACGUGUUACAAUGGGGAGCACAGCAGGUUGCUACACGGCGACGUGAUGCCAAUCCGUAAAACUCCUCUCAGUUCGGAUCGAAGUCUGCAACCCGACUUCGUGAAGCUGGAUUCGCUAGUAAUCGCGCAUCAGCCACGGCGCGGUGAAUACGUUCCCGGGCCUUGUACACACCGCCCGUCAAGCCAUGAAAGCCGGGGGUACCUGAAGUACGUAACCGCGAGGAUCGUCCUAGGGUAAACCUGGUGAUUGGGGCUAAGUCGUAACAAGGUAACC